Molecule: long non-coding RNA, 1079 nt
Organism: Daucus carota subsp. sativus
Lineage: Eukaryota; Viridiplantae; Streptophyta; Magnoliopsida; Apiales; Apiaceae
Exons: 3
Source: RefSeq, a predicted model, not a curated record
UUCAAACCCUAAUAGUACUAAUAACAGUAAUAAGCCUCCGCCUCUUUGGUUCUUUCAUAUUCAUCCACGCGACUGCAUUAUCUUGCCUAUUUCACUGAAUCAUCAAAUCCAGUAUCAAAUUCAAAUCUAAGCAAGCACAUACACUGAUCGAGCCUCCUGCUAAACCAAACACAAACACAAAAACCAGCCCGGGAUUCAAUUCGUUUCACCUCAGCUCAUCUUCAGUAUCAUGUUACUUAGACCCGUGUAGAUCUGGAUAACAUGUACCAAAAUAUAGUUGUAUCUGAUUAUCAAGCAAUGAAGAAAAUGCUCCAUAUUCAAUAUUUCUCUGGUUUUACAUCUCCGAAGUAUUACCGAAAGUCAUUUAUAGUAAUGAUUUCAAAGUAAGCGAACACCUGAUGAAGGUAAGGUCUUUUCAUUGUCAAUGUUGUGGUUCAUGUAUGAGAUAUAUAAUUAGUUUGCUCGAUAUUGAUGGUUGAUUAAUUGCUUCAUUAAUUCUACUUACAAAAUUCUCCCUAUUGGAUUUCAUUUAAGUUGUAAGAGUUAUAUAAUAAGGAGCGAAGCUGGUUGGUGCAGAGUCAAAUCCUGGUGCUUUGAAGAAACAUAAAAGUGUGAUAAAUAAGGAGUAGGAGGAAUAUAUGUACAUAGCAAUCAGAAGCUGAAAAUGAUGACUUAAUCUUAAUAGUUUUUACUAGUUUCUUUGCUCUUCCCAAUUUUUUUUUCUUUUGAUUUGUAAGAGUUACGCAAAUCUAUAAAUGUAUUAUUCAUCUUUAAUAUAUGUAAAAUUUUAUAAUUAAUUUCUAUAUAAAUGGAUAUGUUGAAGUUCGAUUUCUUUUACAUAUAUAGUAUGGAGUCAGAGUCAAAUUUUGGUGUCUUUUUGACCCACAGUAGUGUGAUAAAUAAGGUAAGAGAGAAAUAUAUGUGUGUAGCAAUAAGUUGGUUAAAGUUAUAAAUAAAGGGGUACUAAAUUUGGGCUUAGUACAUUUAGUGUCUGCCAUGAACAUACGUAUAGUUGCUCUAGAUUCUUCGUUAGAGUUAGUGUCAUCCCAACCUUUUCCCUCAGCAAUGUAGACCCUUCC